This 309-nucleotide ribosomal RNA is filed under the name uncultured eukaryote. RNAcentral's name for it is "partial 18S ribosomal RNA". It matches the Rfam family "Eukaryotic small subunit ribosomal RNA", at positions 1470 to 1796 of the family's 1831-position model. The record is from RNAcentral.
CCCUUAGAUGUUCUGGGCGGCCCGCGCACUACAUUGGCGCUCUCAAUAAGUUCCUAGAUCUAAAACUUUGGGGUAUUCUAUUAAGUGGUGUCGUGACUGGGAUUAACCCUUGCAAUUAUUGGUUACGAACGAGGAAUUCCUUGUAAUCGCGGUUUAUCAGCCCGCGUUGAAUGCGUCCCUGCCCUUUGUACACACCGCCCGUCGCUCCUACCGAUGAAUCGUCCGGUGAAGUUCAUGGAGUGGUGGUUGUUCCAGCUGCUGUCGAAGUGAAAUGGACCUCACGAUUUAGAGGAAGGAGAAGUCGUAACA